GAUGAAGAACGUAGCGAAAUGCGAUAAGUAAUGUGAAUUGCAGAAUUCAGUGAAUCAUCGAAUCUUUGAACGCACAUUGCGCCCCCCAGUAUUCUGGCGGGCAUGCCUGUUCGAGCGUCAUUUCAACCAUCAAGCCCUGCUUGUGUUGGGGUCCUGCGGCUGCCCGCAGGCCCUGAAAACCAGUGGCGGGCUCGCUAGUCACACCGAGCGCAGUAGCACAUCUCGCUCAGGGCGUGCGGCGGGCUCCAGCCGUUAAAGCACCCACCUUUCGCAAGGUUGACCUCGCAUCAGGUAGGAAUACCCGCUGAACUUAAGCAUAUCAAUAAGCGGAGGA
Molecule: unclassified non-coding RNA, 334 nt
Filed under: soil metagenome
Description: partial contains 5.8S ribosomal RNA, internal transcribed spacer 2, and large subunit ribosomal RNA
Rfam family: 5.8S ribosomal RNA (bases 1-120)
Source: RNAcentral